Molecule: long non-coding RNA, 1315 nt
Organism: Serinus canaria (Common canary)
Lineage: Eukaryota; Metazoa; Chordata; Aves; Passeriformes; Fringillidae
Exons: 3
Source: RefSeq, a predicted model, not a curated record
CAGCAGUGUGCCCUUGUGGCCCAGAAGCCCAAAGGAAUCCUGGGAGGCAUCAGGAAGAGGAUUUCCAGCAGGUGGAGAGAGAAAAUUCACAGAGUGGAUGGGAGACAGGACCAGGAUAGUGACAGACAUGUCUGGGCACCAGCACUUUCCUUAUCAGCCUGUGCAGUGAAUUCUCUGAAGAAGCAGGGGAAGUUGAUCAGGGCUCCCCAUCUUACCUAAUCUGUCAUUGUUACAGGGAAAGGACCAUCAGGGGAGAAGAUGAGCUUUACUGAGGGCAAAGAACAGGCAGAAGUGUGGAAUAUAUGUUGAACAAAGAAAACAUUCCCUGAGGGAAAUUUCUCACGUAAAACACCAGCAUACAUAUCUGCCUUGUCUCCCGCUUAACAGGAUGGAUAGCCGACCCCAUACACUGAAAAGACGUGUUCUCUUGUCAUCCUUUCCCCCAAGCCCCGGGAGCAGCGGGCGGUCCCGCGGGGACGGGGGUGGCACUCUCCAGGGUCCUGGACUGAAGGCUCGGCAGCGCUGUUGACUGGGCUGGGUCAGGAUCAUGGAACAAGACCACCCCUCUGAUUUCUACACAGAUGACAGCAGAAAGUAUGAGGCUUUCACCCAGAGCCCUCAACACUGUUUCUGUUUCUCUCUUUAGUAAGCAGAAUUAUUAAUUUAGGGGAGCAUAUGGCUUAUUUCUAAUCUGUUGUACAUUAACACUUGGGAACGGGCUCUCUUGCCACACACACACAAAAAAAGCUUUAUGAGAUAUGAAUUGCACAUAAGGAAAACUAGCUAAAGAAACUGAAACAAAUGAGAACAGACAAAGCAGUGGAUCUGUUCUGCAAAUCUGUGAAAUGGGAGUUCAAACUACAAUUGGACAAUUUAACAAAGAAAACAAGGUCGCCCUCUUUCUGAAUGAGGAAGUGAGCAGGGAUUUGGAUGUAAUGUACUAAUGUUCACCCCUGCACACCAAAUGGGAGACUUUCAUUUGAACAUAUUUCUUCUUUAUUCAACAAAAUAAAUUAACCAGAAGAACUAAUAUCUGGCAUAUACCAAGGCAGAUGAGCUCUUUCUCAUGUGACUGGUGACUGUGGAUGUAAAAUUGAACUGUGGAGAAAUCAAUGGCUUCUGCUCUGAAAAUGAGCUAAAACCUGCAAAAAAAGAGUUGGACUAUUAAACAAAAUAGCUACCAAAAUUAUGCCAGGAAAGAUGUGAGUGUACAAGAUGCACUCUUUCUAUUGCAAUUUGGUUGUGUGCCACAUUAAUUCCCAAAGGCAAUACCUUUUCUCAUUUUCUGAAUAAAAUUCUGUGUCCAGUGUACUGU